AGAGUUUGAUCCUGGCUCAGAACGAACGCUGGCGGCGUGCUUAACACAUGCAAGUCGAACGCGAAAGUUUUCUUCGGAAAGCGAGUAGAGUGGCGCACGGGUGAGUAACGCGUAAGUUAUCUACCUCGGCAUCUGGAAUAACUCACCGAAAGGUGUGCUAAUACCGGAUACGUUUAUCUUGAUGCGAAUUGAGUAAUCAGGAAAGGUGGCCUCUGAAUAUGCUACUGUGCUGAGAUGAGCUUGCGUACCAUUAGCUAGUUGGUAGGGUAAUGGCCUACCAAGGCGACGAUGGGUAGCCGGCCUGAGAGGGUGACCGGCCACACUGGAACUGAGACACGGACCAGACUCCUACGGGAGGCAGCAGUGAGGAAUAUUGCGCAAUGGGGGCAACCCUGACGCAGCGACGCCGCGUGGAUGAUGAAGGCCCUUGGGUCGUAAAAUCCUGUCAGAUGGAAAGAAAUGCCACAGGGCUAAUAUCUUUGUGGUUUGACGGUACCAUCAAAGGAAGCACCGGCUAACUCCGUGCCAGCAGCCGCGGUAAUACGGAGGGUGCAAGCGUUGUUCGGAAUUACUGGGCGUAAAGCGCGCGUAGGCGGUUUGCUCAGUCAGAUGUGAAAGCCCUCGGCUUAACCGGGGACGUGCAUUUGAAACUGGCAGACUUGAGUAUUGGAGGGGGUGGUGGAAUUCCUGGUGUAGCGGUGAAAUGCGUAGAUAUCAGGAGGAACACCCGUGGCGAAGGCGGGUUGCUGGACCAAAACUGACGCUGAGACGCGAAAGCGUGGGUAGCAAACAGGAUUAGAUACCCUGGUAGUCCACGCUGUAAACGAAUGAGUGCUAGGUGUAGGGGGUAUCGACCCCCUCUGUGCCGCAGCUAACGCAUUAAGUUGACCGCCUGGGGAGUACGGUCGCAAGAUUAAAACUCAAAGGAAUUGACGGGGGCCCGCACAAGCGGUGGAGUAUGUGGUUUAAUUCGACGCAACGCGCAGAACCUUACCUGGUCUUGACAUCCCGGGAAUCUUGUGGAAACACGAGAGUGCCUCGCAAGAGGAGCCUGGUGACAGGUGCUGCAUGGCUGUCGUCAGCUCGUGUCGUGAGAUGUUGGGUUAAGUCCCGCAACGAGCGCAACCCUUAUCUUUAGUUGCCAUCAUUAAGUUGGGCACUCUAAAGAGACUGCCGGUGUCAAACCGGAGGAAGGUGGGGAUGACGUCAAGUCCUCAUGGCCCUUAUGUCCAGGGCUACACACGUACUACAAUGGUCGGUACAAAGGGCGGCGAGCUCGCGAGAGUCAGCUAAUCCCAUAAAACCGGUCUCAGUCCGGAUCGGAGUCUGCAACUCGACUCCGUGAAGUUGGAAUCGCUAGUAAUCGUGGAUCAGCAUGCCACGGUGAAUACGUUCCCGGGCCUUGUACACACCGCCCGUCACACCACGAAAGUCGGUUGUACCAGAAGACGUUGAGCUAACCGCAAGGAGGCAGGCGUCCAAGGUAUGGCUGGUAAUUGGGGUGAAGUCGUAACAAGGUAACC
RNAcentral lists this ribosomal RNA (1523 nucleotides) under uncultured bacterium. RNAcentral's name for it is "bacterial SSU rRNA". It matches the Rfam family "Bacterial small subunit ribosomal RNA". The record is from RNAcentral.